RNAcentral lists this ribosomal RNA (448 nucleotides) under Pluralibacter gergoviae. Its description in RNAcentral is "bacterial SSU rRNA". It matches the Rfam family "Bacterial small subunit ribosomal RNA", at positions 1 to 445 of the family's 1533-position model. The record is from RNAcentral. Lineage: Bacteria; Pseudomonadati; Pseudomonadota; Gammaproteobacteria; Enterobacterales; Enterobacteriaceae.
AAAUUGAAGAGUUUGAUCAUGGCUCAGAUUGAACGCUGGCGGCAGGCCUAACACAUGCAAGUCGAACGGUAGCAGAAAGAAGCUUGCUUCUUUGCUGACGAGUGGCGGACGGGUGAGUAAUGUCUGGGAAACUGCCCGAUGGAGGGGGAUAACUACUGGAAACGGUAGCUAAUACCGCAUAACGUCUUCGGACCAAAGAGGGGGACCUUCGGGCCUCUUGCCAUCGGAUGUGCCCAGAUGGGAUUAGCUAGUAGGUGGGGUAACGGCUCACCUAGGCGACGAUCCCUAGCUGGUCUGAGAGGAUGACCAGCCACACUGGAACUGAGACACGGUCCAGACUCCUACGGGAGGCAGCAGUGGGGAAUAUUGCACAAUGGGCGCAAGCCUGAUGCAGCCAUGCCGCGUGUAUGAAGAAGGCCUUCGGGUUGUAAAGUACUUUCAGCGGGGA